Vidua chalybeata is the source of this 435-nucleotide long non-coding RNA. RefSeq lists it as uncharacterized. The transcript is spliced from 2 exons. NCBI's taxonomy places the organism in Eukaryota, Metazoa, Chordata, Aves, Passeriformes, Viduidae. The record is from RefSeq and is a predicted model, not a curated record.
CGCCACGGGGCUUUUCCCCGGAGGGACUCUGCGCCUCGGCUGUACACUGCGGGGAGCAGACCACGGCCCGUCGACUAGCGGAUGAAAGCGUGAUUCAAAUGGACUUAUUCUUCAUUGGAUUCGUCUUGCUUUGGUGGUUUCUGUGGACUCACCUGUUCCCGCGUGGCGAUUACAAUGGACUUUCAUUGUUACACUUGCUCCCCCCUCUUUCCUCUGUGGACUAUAACUGGAGCCCCGAGUCGACCAGAACUUCGGAGACUCCCCCGACACGACAGACGGAUCCCCAUCGUCCGGACCACUGAGGAUCUCGCCUGUGUUGGUAGCUAUUCCCAUAUCCCUCUUCUCUCGCUCUCUCUAUCCUUUUAUCUCCUUUCAGAUCCCCACUAUCGCGUUUACUGUUUUGGCCCCUAAUAAAGGUGCAUUUGUUGUGAUUAA